This 442-nucleotide ribosomal RNA is filed under the name uncultured bacterium. RNAcentral describes it as "partial 16S ribosomal RNA". It matches the Rfam family "Bacterial small subunit ribosomal RNA", at positions 338 to 795 of the family's 1533-position model. The record is from RNAcentral.
CCUACGGGGGGCAGCAGUGGGGAAUAUUGGGCAAUGGGCGCAAGCCUGACCCAGCAACGCCGCGUGAAGGAAGAAGGCUUUCGGGUUGUAAACUUCUUUUCAGAGGGAAGAGCAGAAGACGGUACCUCUUGAAUAAGCCACGGCUAACUACGUGCCAGCAGCCGCGGUAAUACGUAGGUGGCACGCGUUGUCCGGAUUUACUGGGUGUAAAGGGCGUGUAGCCGGGCUGACAAGUCAGAUGUGAAAUUCCGGGGCUCAACCCCGGACCUGCACUUGAAACUGUUGGUCUUGAGUAUCGGAGAGGCAGGCGGAAUUCCUAGUGUAGCGGUGAAAUGCUUAGAUAUCACGAGGAACUCCGGUGGCGAAGGCAGCUUACUAAACUGCCACUGACAUUGAUGCUCGAAAGUGUGGGGAUCAAACAGGAUUAGAUACCCGAGUAGUC